UUUUAAUAUUAUUUUAUUACUUUAUAAGGAUAAUAAUAAUACUGAAAUGUUGAUAAACUUUCCUCACAACACAUUAAGACAGGUUCCUCUGCUGAAUAUUUCUUUGAAGGCCUGCUUCAAAUUUCAACCAAUACCAAAAAAACGGUAUGAUGUUAUAAUAUAAAUCUAGUAGGAAGCUGGUAUACUAAAUUUCGCAUAUUU
This 201-nucleotide long non-coding RNA is filed under the name Mytilus galloprovincialis (Mediterranean mussel). Lineage: Eukaryota; Metazoa; Mollusca; Bivalvia; Mytilida; Mytilidae. The record is from RNAcentral.